GAUGAACGCUGGCGGCGUGCCUAAUACAUGCAAGUCGAGCGAACAGACGAGGAGCUUGCUCCUCUGACGUUAGCGGCGGACGGGUGAGUAACACGUGGAUAACCUACCUAUAAGACUGGGAUAACUUCGGGAAACCGGAGCUAAUACCGGAUAACAUGUUGAACCGCAUGGUUCAACAGUGAAAGACGGUCUUGCUGUCACUUAUAGAUGGAUCCGCGCCGCAUUAGGUAGUUGGUAAGGUAACGGCUUACCAAGGCAACGAUGCGUAGCCGACCUGAGAGGGUGAUCGGCCACACUGGAACUGAGACACGGUCCAGACUCCUACGGGAGGCAGCAGUAGGGAAUCUUCCGCAAUGGGCGAAAGCCUGACGGAGCAACGCCGCGUGAGUGAAGAAGGUCUUCGGAUCGUAAAACUCUGUUAUUAGGGAAGAACAAAUGUGUAAGUAACUAUGCACGUCUUGACGGUACCUAAUCAGAAAGCCACGGCUAACUACGUG
This 497-nucleotide ribosomal RNA is filed under the name uncultured bacterium. RNAcentral describes it as "partial 16S ribosomal RNA". It matches the Rfam family "Bacterial small subunit ribosomal RNA", at positions 28 to 507 of the family's 1533-position model. The record is from RNAcentral.